Molecule: transfer RNA, 72 nt
Filed under: Eutypa lata UCREL1
Lineage: Eukaryota; Fungi; Ascomycota; Sordariomycetes; Xylariales; Diatrypaceae
Description: tRNA-Pro (CGG) (tRNA-Pro-CGG-1-1)
Rfam family: tRNA
About the family: Transfer RNA (tRNA) molecules are approximately 80 nucleotides in length. Their secondary structure includes four short double-helical elements and three loops (D, anti-codon, and T loops).
Source: RNAcentral
GGCUUUGUGGUCUAGUCGUAUGAUUGUCGCUUCGGGUGUGACAGGUCCCGGGUUCAAAUCCCGGCAAAGCCC